Hyaena hyaena (striped hyena) is the source of this 288-nucleotide long non-coding RNA. RefSeq lists it as uncharacterized. The record is from RefSeq and is a predicted model, not a curated record. Lineage: Eukaryota; Metazoa; Chordata; Mammalia; Carnivora; Hyaenidae. The transcript has 3 exons.
CAUGAAACCAAAAUUCAACAUGUUUGAAGCUGAAGGAUGACUUGGCCAAGAAGAAGAAAGGGCCGCAGGGCUGACGUUCAAUGCAUAAGACUCCAGAGGAUAGUAAUAACCAGAAGAAGCAGACUGUGCAGACUGAUUAAGAAUUUCAAAUUAUACCUGGACCGGACCACUUCCUCAUUCAACUGGAUGAAAAAGCGAACCCUUUUGUGGGAGUUAAGAUGUGUAUGCCGGUAAGAGAUAACGACACUUCUAAAUAAUGGCCUAUUGUCUUCUCUUGGACCCAGGACC